UGUCUCUGUAGCUUCCAGAGGAUGAGAAGCUCCGAAGGAGGUUUGCGCCGAGCGCAGCGAGACAACGUUGCUACAGCAACGGCCCGCAGGGGAAUAAUCCUCUCUCGCCGACCA
This 114-nucleotide small RNA is filed under the name Erwinia sp. PsM31. Its description in RNAcentral is "RtT sRNA". It matches the Rfam family "RtT RNA". Rfam says of the family: This family represents a bacterial cis-regulatory element known as RtT RNA. The exact function of RtT is unknown although it is thought that it may be involved in changing the cellular response in relation to amino acid starvation. Lineage: Bacteria; Pseudomonadati; Pseudomonadota; Gammaproteobacteria; Enterobacterales; Erwiniaceae. RNAcentral also lists the same sequence under 1 other name. The record is from RNAcentral.